RNAcentral lists this small RNA (150 nucleotides) under Vibrio cholerae O1 biovar El Tor str. N16961. Lineage: Bacteria; Pseudomonadati; Pseudomonadota; Gammaproteobacteria; Vibrionales; Vibrionaceae. The record is from RNAcentral.
AUUGAUUCAAUAAGCACGAUAUGCAAAAUGAAAAAGAAAUUCACUGCACUGUUUUUGUUGUCGGCUCUCGCGUUAGCGGGAUGCGGGCAAACUGGGCCACUGUAUAUGCCUGAUGAUGCAAAACAAAGUGAGCAAAGUCAGUAAAUCACG